RNAcentral lists this long non-coding RNA (720 nucleotides) under Theobroma cacao (cacao). RNAcentral describes it as "long non-coding RNA (TCAC_LNC005907)". Lineage: Eukaryota; Viridiplantae; Streptophyta; Magnoliopsida; Malvales; Malvaceae. The record is from RNAcentral.
UUAAUUUAGCUUCAAUUGACCCUCGUCCUAUUGAUAAGGUCAUAUUAGCUUUUAUACAAGUGUACAGGGUGUUACAUCUAUGAAAAUACUCUAAUGUGUCAAUAGUGUAAGUAAUCCUUAGACUUGUGAUACCAUGUCAUCUUGUGUGUGAAUUGUCAUGCUUUGAUUUCACCUCUACGAGUCUGGAUAUGACCAGAUGCCAAGAUAGGAUGCUUUUGGGUAUGGCAUGAAACGUGCGAAGAUGAAUGAGUUGUCUAGAAAGGAUUCAUCAUCCCAAGUGAUUUGAAGGGGACAUAUCUCAUUUGCUCCUGGCUUAUAUUGACUAAAAGUCCUUGCCCAAGGCAAUCUUGAUAGGUCAACAUGAAAGCUAUAGGACUAAUAUGGAUAAGUUAAAAAGUAGACACCUAGCCAGACUUUCUAUCUAAUUGGGAUAUAUGAUGAAAAGAUUGAAUUAUAUUAAGAUUGUAACACCCUGUACCCUCAUAUAGAAGACAAUAUAACCUUAUCGACAAGACGAAGGGUCAAUAGAUGCUAAUUUAAGUGCCAAAGAGUGGCAACGGGUGAAAAGAAUAUUUUGAAAUAAAAUAUUCCGUACAUGAGAAAAUAAUAAUAAAAUAAUAAUAUUUUAUCGAGGAUGAAUUAUCGAGUUAAAAGGCAAUUUAAAAGUGAACCGAGAUAAAGUGAGACACUUUGGGACCCGGGGAGACAAGUAGAAAAUUU